This 23-nucleotide microRNA is filed under the name Zea mays. RNAcentral describes it as "microRNA miR-3034b". Lineage: Eukaryota; Viridiplantae; Streptophyta; Magnoliopsida; Poales; Poaceae. The record is from RNAcentral.
AUGGAUUGAUAGAUAUGUAGGUU